This 71-nucleotide transfer RNA is filed under the name Conocara murrayi (Murray's smooth-head). Its description in RNAcentral is "tRNA-Ser (UCN)". It matches the Rfam family "tRNA". From Rfam's summary of the family: Transfer RNA (tRNA) molecules are approximately 80 nucleotides in length. Their secondary structure includes four short double-helical elements and three loops (D, anti-codon, and T loops). Lineage: Eukaryota; Metazoa; Chordata; Actinopteri; Alepocephaliformes; Alepocephalidae. The record is from RNAcentral.
AAGAAAGUGGCAGAGUGGUUGUGCGACUGGCUUGAAACCAGAACAUGGGGGUUCAAUUCCCCCCUUUCUCG